Long non-coding RNA from Homo sapiens (human), 4387 nucleotides. RefSeq annotates it as ANKRD20A4-ANKRD20A20P readthrough. The transcript has 25 exons. The record is from RefSeq and is marked validated. NCBI's taxonomy places the organism in Eukaryota, Metazoa, Chordata, Mammalia, Primates, Hominidae.
GCAGGCGCGCGCCCAACGGCUUUGCGAGGCUCACUCGGUCUGAGAGGUCGGAGGCUGCGAGUGUCGCUGCUGAAGGCUGUGGUGGACCGGGCUGGAUCGCGGAUUGUGGAGUAGAUUAUAGAUUUGAAAUAGCGGAGUUGGGGUUGGAUCGGGGCUUUGGGGUUGGAUAGGGGAUUUGGGGCUGGGUCGGCCGGGGUCGGGGAGGGGGGUGGUGAAAAGGUGACAGGGAGCUGCCCUCGCUCAAGAGCCGGUGGUUGGGGGUCUGAGAAGAAGUCACCAAUAUGAAGUUAUUCGGCUUCGGGAGCCGCAGGGGCCAGACGGCCCAGGGCUCCAUAGACCACGUCUACACGGGUUCCGGAUACCGAAUCCGGGACUCCGAACUGCAGAAGAUCCACAGGGCAGCUGUCAAAGGCGACGCCGCGGAGGUGGAGCGCUGCUUGGCGCGCAGGAGCGGAGAACUGGACGCCCUGGACAAGCAGCACAGAACUGCUCUACACUUGGCCUGUGCCAGUGGCCAUGUGCAAGUGGUCACUCUCCUGGUUAACAGAAAAUGCCAGAUUGAUGUCUGUGACAAAGAAAACAGAACGCCUUUGAUACAGGCUGUCCAUUGCCAGGAAGAGGCUUGUGCCGUUAUUCUGCUGGAACAUGGCGCCAAUCCAAACCUUAAGGAUAUCUACGGCAACACUGCUCUCCAUUAUGCCGUGUAUAGUGAGAGCACCUCACUGGCAGAAAAACUGCUUUCCCAUGGUGCACAUAUUGAAGCACUGGACAAGGACAAUAAUACCCCACUUUUAUUUGCUAUAAUUUGCAAGAAAGAGAAAAUGGUGGAAUUUUUAUUGAAAAAGAAAGCAAGUUCACAUGCCGUUGAUAGGCUGAGACGGUCAGCUCUCAUGCUUGCUGUAUACUAUGACUCACCAGGUAUUGUCAAUAUCCUUCUUAAGCAAAAUAUUGAUGUCUUCGCUCAAGACAUGUGUGGACGAGAUGCAGAAGAUUAUGCUAUUUCUCAUCAUUUGACAAAAAUUCAACAACAAAUUUUGGAACAUAAAAAGAAGAUACUUAAAAAGGAGAAAUCAGAUGUUGGAAGUUCUGAUGAAUCUGCAGUCAGCAUUUUCCAUGAACUGCGUGUGGAUUCAUUGCCUGCAUCGGAUGACAAAGACUUGAAUGUUGCUACUAAGUGUGUCCCCGAGAAAGUGUCAGAGCCUUUACCUGGAUCUUCGCAUGAAAAAGGAAACAGAAUAGUCAAUGGACAAGGAGAAGGGCCUCCUGCAAAACAUCCUUCCUUGAAGCCUAGCACUGAAGUGGAAGAUCCUGCUGUGAAAGGAGCAGUACAAAGAAAGAAUGUACAGACAUUGAGAGCAGAACAAGCCUUACCAGUGGCUUCAGAGGAAGAGCAACAAAGGCAUGAAAGAAGUGAAAAGAAGCAACCACAGGUCAAAGAAGGAAAUAAUACAAACAAAAGUGAAAAAAUACAACUUUCAGAAAAUAUAUGUGAUAGUACAUCUUCUGCUGCUGCUGGCAGAUUAACCCAACAAAGAAAGAUUGGGAAAACGUAUCCUCAGCAAUUUCCCAAGAAGCUGAAGGAAGAGCAUGAUAGAUGCACCUUAAAACAAGAAAAUGAAGAAAAAACAAAUGUUAAUAUGCUGUACAAAAAAAAUAGAGAAGAAUUAGAAAGGAAAGAGAAACAAUAUAAGAAAGAAGUUGAAGCAAAACAACUUGAACCAACUGUUCAGUCACUAGAGAUGAAAUCAAAGACUGCAAGAAAUACUCCAAAUUGGGUAAAUCAAUCUUUGGAUUUUCAUAAUCAUGAAGAAAUGAAAGGUCUGAUGGAUGAAAAUUGCAUUUUGAAGGCAGAUAUUGCUAUACUCAGACAGGAAAUAUGUACAAUGAAAAAUGACAACUUGGAAAAAGAAAAUAAAUAUCUUAAGGACAUUAAAAUUGUUAAAGAAACAAAUGCUGCCCUUGAAAAGUAUAUAAAACUCAAUGAGGAAAUGAUAACAGAAACAGCAUUCCGGUAUCAACAAGAGCUUAAUGAUCUCAAGGCUGAGAAUACAAGGCUCAAUGCCGAACUGUUGAAGGAAAAAGAAAGCAAGAAAAGACUGGAAGCUGACAUUGAAUCUUAUCAGUCUAGACUGGCUGCUGCUAUAAGCAAACACAGUGAAAGUGUGAAAACAGAAAGAAACCUAAAACUUGCUUUAGAGAGAACACAAGAUGUUUCUGUACAAGUAGAAAUGAGUUCUGCUAUUUCCAAAGUAAAAGAUGAGAAUGAGUUUCUUACUGAACAACUUUCUGAAACACAAAUUAAAUUCAAUGCCUUAAAAGAUAAGUUCCGUAAGACAAGAGAUAGUCUCAGAAAAAAGUCAUUGGCUUUAGAAACUGUACAAAACAACCUAAGCCAAACACAGCAGCAAACACAGGAAAUGAAAGAGAUGUAUCAAAAUGCAGAAGCUAAAGUGAAUAAUUCCACUGGAAAGUGGAACUGUGUAGAAGAGAGGAUAUGUCACCUCCAACGUGAAAAUGCGUGGCUUGUACAGCAACUAGAUGACGUUCAUCAGAAAGAGGAUCAUAAAGAGAUAGUAACUAAUAUCCAAAGAGGCUUUAUUGAGAGUGGAAAGAAAGACUUCGUGCUAGAAGAGAAAAGUAAGAAGCUAAUGAAUGAAUGUGAUCAUUUAAAAGAAAGUCUCUUUCAGUAUGAGAGAGAGAAAACAGAAGUAGUAGUGGUUGUGAGACAACUUCAACAAGAAGUGGCUGACAGCGUAAAAAAAUUAACGACGUUAGAGUCUCCACUGGAAGGUAUAUCACGUUGUCACAUUAAUUUGGAUGAGACACAGGCCUCAAAUAAGAAAUUAUUUCAAGUGAAAAGUCAAAUAUAAGAAACUCCUGGAAAUGACAAUAAAUAUGUUAAAUGUAUUUGGAAAUGAAGACUUUGAUUGCCAUGGAGACUUAAAAACAGAUCAACUGAAAAUGGAUAUUCUGAUUAAGAAGCUAAAACAGAAGUUUGAUGAUCUUACAGCACAGAAGGAAGCUUUAUCUUCAAAAUGUGUCAAUUUGGCUAAAGACAAUCAAGUUCUUCAACAGGAGUUUUUAUCUAUGAAAAAAGUACAACAGCAAUGUGAAAAACUUGAGGAGGAUAAAAAGAUGUUGAAAGAAGAAAUAUUAAAUCUUAAGACACAUAUGGAAAACAAUAGGGUAGAAAUUAGUAAACUACAAGAAUAUAAAUUGGAGCUAGAUGAAAAGGCAAUGCAGGCAGUAGAAAAAUUAGAAGAAAUCCAUUUACAGGAACAAGCACAAUAUGAAAAACAAUUAGAGCAGUUAAACAAGGAUAAUAUGGCUUCACUAAAUAAAAAGGAACUCACACUUAAAGAUGUGGAAUGUAAAUUCUCAGAAAUGAAAACUGCUUAUGAAGAGGUUACAACCGAAUUAGAAGAAUAUAAGGAAGCCUUUGCAGCAGCAUUGAAAGCUAACAAUUCCAUGUCAAAAAAGUUAACAAAAUCAAAUAAGAAAAUAGCAGUGAUUAGCAUGAAGCUCCUCAUGGAGAAAGAGCAGAUGAAAUAUUUUCUCAGUGCUCUUCCUACAAGGCGAGACCCAGAGUCACCUUGUGUUGAAAAUCUUACUAGUAUAGGACUCAACAGAAAAUAUAUUCCCCAAACACCCAUAAGAAUUCCUAUUUCAAGCCCACAGACUUCAAAUAACUGCAAGAACUCCUAGACUGUGAUGGAGCUGGACUGUGUAGAACAAAUAACUAGAGAAACAAAGAGAAUUGUUGCUGUGUUGAACACUUGCUCCCGUCUACUUACUUCUCUAUAAUCCACUGCCAUGGAAUGAGUGAUUUUUCUUAGAAGCAGAGGUGGAGCCACUGAGGAAGCACAGGCGAGCCCUCCCCAGCACGUGAUCACUGGUCCCCAACAGAACAACCGCUGCCGCAUCCAUGAGGCUCCCAUUGUGGUGGGUUGUGUCACCCCACAAUGUCACUGUUGCUGAGCCCCCAUCGCCUCUGUGUUGUGGAGCAGUUAGAGACACACUGUGGUGUCUGAGUGGCUCUGUGUGAAGGACCGUUUUCUAGGUGAGAGGCACAUCUCAACACAGCUGACUGAUCAGACUCAGCCGUUUUGCACACCCUGGUCAGAAUGAAACAUUCCUUGGGAACUCGGGCCGUGAGAAGCAUCCUUCCUGAUCACCUGACUGUAGAAACAUCCUUAUCGCACCCUCCCGGGCAAAGGCCCAACAGCCUGACUGCAGGAACAUCCUUGCCAUAUCCUGCCGGGCAGCAAGCUCUACCGCCCACACCCCUCCUUCCCAGUCCCAUGAUCACCCCAGCCUGUGAGAGGCAGUUGGUGCUGGCAGUAAGCUGGUUUCCUCCUCUGCAGGGUUUUGCUAGUAAUAAAGGUGU